RNAcentral lists this microRNA precursor (83 nucleotides) under Eptesicus fuscus (big brown bat). Its description in RNAcentral is "microRNA efu-mir-9193 precursor (efu-mir-9193-2)". The stretch from base 7 to 80 matches the Rfam family "mir-9193 microRNA precursor family". The record is from miRBase by way of RNAcentral. Lineage: Eukaryota; Metazoa; Chordata; Mammalia; Chiroptera; Vespertilionidae.
CAUGCACUUGGGGUGGGGGGGUCCCUCAGCCAGGAUUGCAAGAGGAUGUAGGCCAGGCUGAGGGACUCCACCAGUGCAGGAUU